GCGGGAGUAGUUCAACGGUAGAGCGUUGCCUUCCCAAGGCAAAAGUUGCGGGUUCGAAUCCCGUCUCCCGCUCCA
Molecule: transfer RNA, 75 nt
Filed under: Clostridiales bacterium
Lineage: Bacteria; Bacillati; Bacillota; Clostridia; Eubacteriales
Description: tRNA-Gly
Rfam family: tRNA
About the family: Transfer RNA (tRNA) molecules are approximately 80 nucleotides in length. Their secondary structure includes four short double-helical elements and three loops (D, anti-codon, and T loops). Further hydrogen bonds mediate the characteristic L-shaped molecular structure. tRNAs have two regions of fundamental functional importance: the anti-codon, which is responsible for specific mRNA codon recognition, and the 3' end, to which the tRNAs corresponding amino acid is attached (by aminoacyl-tRNA synthetases). tRNAs cope with the degeneracy of the genetic code in two manners: having more than one tRNA (with a specific anti-codon) for a particular amino acid; and 'wobble' base-pairing, i.e. permitting non-standard base-pairing at the 3rd anti-codon position.
Source: RNAcentral